This 919-nucleotide ribosomal RNA is filed under the name uncultured archaeon. RNAcentral describes it as "bacterial SSU rRNA". It matches the Rfam family "Archaeal small subunit ribosomal RNA", at positions 1 to 922 of the family's 1478-position model. The record is from RNAcentral.
UUCCGGUUGAUCCUGCCAGAGGUCAUUGCUAUUGGGGUCCGAUUUAGCCAUGCUAGUUGUGCGAGUUCAGCCUCGCAGCAAAUAGCUCCGUAACACGUGGCCAAACUACCCUACGGAGGAGGAUAACCUCGGGAAACUGAGGCUAAUACUCCACACCGUACUCACGCUGGAAUGCCGAGUACACCAAACGCUCCGGCGCCGUAGGAUAUGGCUGCGGCCGAUUAGGUAGACGGUGGGGUAACGGCCCACCGUGCCGAUAAUCGGUACGGGUUGUGAGAGCAAGAGCCCGGAGAUGGAUUCUGAGACAAGAAUCCAGGCCCUACGGGGCGCAGCAGGCGCGAAACCUUUACACUGCACGCAAGUGCGAUAAGGGGACCCCAAGUGCGAGGGCAUACAGUCCUCGCUUUUCUGUACCGUAAGGUGGUACAGGAAUAAGUGCUGGGCAAGACCGGUGCCAGCCGCCGCGGUAAUACCGGCAGCACGAGUGAUGACCGAUAUUAUUGGGCCUAAAGCGUCCGUAGCCGGCCAAGCAAGUCCGUCGGGAAAUCCACCAGCCUAACUGGUGGGCGUCCGGCAGAAACUGCCUGGCUUGGGACCGGAAGACUCGAGGGGUACGUCUGGGGUAGGAGUGAAAUCCCGUAAUCCUGGACGGACCGCCGAUGGCGAAAGCACCUCGAGAAGACGGAUCCGACGGUGAGGGGCGAAAGCUAGGGUCUCGAACCGGAUUAGAUACCCGGGUAGUCCUAGCCGUAAACGAUGUCUGUUAGGUGUGGCACCCACUACGAGUGGGUGCUGUGCCGUAGGGAAGCCGCUAAACAGACCGCCUGGGAAGUACGUCCGCAAGGAUGAAACUUAAAGGAAUUGGCGGGGGAGCACUACAACCGGAGGAGCCUGCGGUUUAAUUGGACUCAACGCCGGG